ACAAGACACAGAAACCCUCCUCAUCAGCAACAUGACUCUGAUCUCCGUCCUCAUCUGGACUCUCCUCUGCUGCUGCUUCACAGAGUCCAGAGGUCAGGUCACAGUGACUCAGCCUGGAGCAGUGAGAACCACACUGGGAGGAAGAGUCACCAUCAGCUGUAGAACCAGUCAGAGUGUUGCAUGUAGCCCUAAUUGUUUGUCCUGGUACCAACAGAAAAAUGGAGAAUCUCCUAAACUGCUCAUUUACCGUGCUACUAGUCGACAGUCAGGGAUUCCAGAUCGCUUUUCAGGCAGUGGAUCAAACUCUGACUUCACUCUGACCAUCAGUGGAGUCCAGGCUGAAGAUGCAGCAGAUUAUUACUGUCAGAGUUAUCAUUACAUUAACAGCAACUAUGUGUUGACACAGUGAAAAACUGUCAUACAAAAACCUCCUCAGUCAAAUUGAACAGAAACUGAACUAACUGCUGCAGCUGUCAACAGAGUCAACACUUAAAUUUCAACUUGACCUAACGUUGGUUGUAAAUUUGCACUAUACUGUAUAAUUAAAACUGAAUUGAAUUGUUAAAACACAUCAGCUCUGACUGUAGACACAGAUCUGAUUCUAACAGAGAAAAUUGGAAAACUUUCAAACUAAUUAAUUAAUGACUAAACUUUAAACACUCAGCUCAUAAAUUACAGUUUUGGAAGAUUGUAGAUGCAGCAACACACAAAUCUAGAAAAUAAUUUAUGAGAACUUAAUAUUGAUCCUUUUACAAAUCUUUCACAAACAU
Molecule: non-coding RNA, 770 nt
Organism: Betta splendens (Siamese fighting fish)
Lineage: Eukaryota; Metazoa; Chordata; Actinopteri; Anabantiformes; Osphronemidae
Source: the annotation of a RefSeq genome assembly